This 482-nucleotide ribosomal RNA is filed under the name uncultured bacterium. Its description in RNAcentral is "bacterial SSU rRNA". It matches the Rfam family "Bacterial small subunit ribosomal RNA", at positions 28 to 534 of the family's 1533-position model. The record is from RNAcentral.
GACGAACGCUGGCGGCGUGCCUAACACAUGCAAGUCGAACGAAGCAUAGCAAUAUGCUUAGUGGCGGACGGGUGAGUAACGCGUGAACAAUCUGCCCUGUACAAAGGAAUAGCCUCGGGAAACCGGGAUUAAAACCGUAUGACACUUUAGUAUCGCAUGAUAAGAAAGUCAAAUCGAUUAGAGGUAUGGGAUGAGUUCGCGUCUGAUUAGCUGGGUUGGCGGGGUAACGGCCCACCAAGGCGACGAUCAGUAGCCGGCCUGAGAGGGUGAACGGCCACACUGGAACUGAGACACGGUCCAGACUCCUACGGGAGGCAGCAGUGGGGAAUAUUGCACAAUGGAGGGAACUCUGAUGCAGCGACGCCGCGUGAGUGAAGAAGGUCUUCGGAUCGUAAAACUCUGUCCUUGGUGAAGAAAGGACGGUAGCCAAGGAGGAAGCCCCGGCUAACUACGUGCCAGCAGCCGCGGUAAGACGUAGCGUG